RNAcentral lists this long non-coding RNA (2878 nucleotides) under Bemisia tabaci. RNAcentral's name for it is "lncRNA ENSSWEETPG003881". Lineage: Eukaryota; Metazoa; Arthropoda; Insecta; Hemiptera; Aleyrodidae. The record is from RNAcentral.
UGUGAGAAGAGCUGAAGUAGAGCUGAAAAAAUAUUUUCAGCUCUAACAAUGUUUUACGUUAAUUCUAAGACUGGUGCAUUGUUUUUUUUUCAGAUGUAUCAACUACAAACCUUUUAACAAACAUUGAUAGUAAUUUGAUGAGCAAUAAAGAUGAAGGGGUGUUCCUUCGGCCCGAUGCUGCAUCAAGGUAUACAGUUUCAACUUUUUUAACUUUUUUUGUACUCUCACUCUCUUUUCCUCGGAGAUAAGUGAAACUUGAAAUCCAUCUGCAUCAAGUUUUGUUUUUACCUUCAUUUUAAAAUUUGAAUGUACUCUCUCUUCAAAUUAUUCCAUUUGCUGUCUUUUGUAGGAAUGUGUGUGGAAUGGAAAAAUACAAAGUGCUCAGUGUGGAACUUCAUGUCAACAUCCCAAAUCUGACAGAAACGAGUGAAACCUCACAGUCUACAGAUCCAGGUGGCACUGCAAGUAUACUCAGUACAAACAACAGAUCUCAACAUCAUCGCGGUAUCUAAUCAAAACAGCAGCAGCAGAAAACAUUACUUUUUUUCAAUCCUCAUCAGCAGAGAGUCUCAUUGCCGCUGCAUCACCUGUUAAUAAAUCAAACGUAAAUUCUUUGUCCUGUAACUUGAUGCUCGGAAGUUCUCAAGUUAUCGCCUAGAUCGAAGCAUGUCUCUCCCUCUUAACUCUCCAAUGUCAGAUUCAACAUUUGACUCUGGAAUAUCCUUGGACAUCUCCCAUGAUACUCAUCAGCUGCCAGACCGUGAGAUGGAUUUUGCACUUUGCCAAGUUGCUUUCAAGUCAAGUUCUCAAACCCUGAGUCCACCCAUGCUGGAUGUUGGUGCUUCAACGAGUUUUUCUGAGACAUCUGAGAAUGUUGGUUAGUAUUAAUUCUCAUCACAGUUUUUGCCAACGACCCAACUACUGUACAUCUGUCCAUUGGAUAUCAUUUAGCAGAACCAGAACCGCAGUACCAUUGACUGUUUAAAAAAAAAUCCCUGUUAAUUUGAAAGAGGGGAACCGCCACAGAAAACUAUUAAAAUAUACAAUCGGGCGUAAAAAUGCCAUCUUGAUCUUUUGUGAGCUCUUUGUCACUUUUUUCAACGAAUUUUAACGAAAACUAUACAUAAAUUUUCAGUACAUGGCAUUUCAUCAAAUUUUUGUAAUAAAAUAAAAGUUAAGUGCCUUUUUUUUUUCUUUAACAAAUAGUUUUAUUAUAUUUUAUGUAAGAUAUUCCCAAUUUGUGCGUUUGCAACAGCUUUUCAAUGUUUUUUUAAGGUUUAAAAACUCCUAAUGUAAGUUGAACAGUCAAUGCUACCAAGAAAGGGAUCUAUCUACCAUUCUACUUUUAUCGUUUGAAAGAAGUCUUGUUUAGAAAUAGUUAUUAGUCAAGAACAUAUGUGUGGGAGGGAAGGCGCAUAAAAUUUUUAGAGGAGUAGAUGACCAAACCAGGAGCUUUCACUAGCACCAUUCGAACCUUUAUUGAGUAUGCCAAAGAUGCCAGAAUUCAAAUCUUAUAUAGAUAGACUUCUCCAUUACAUGGUGUCAAAUCAUCUCCAUAAUCUCCCAUCUUGGUUUUUUUUGUCGGUGUUCAAGAUCACCAGAAAUGUUUUGCUUAUGAUCUCAAUUUCAUGCCUUUUUAAUCGUGAUGAAUAGCCUCUGAGAGACACAAAUGAUAUUUAUGCGUAGACUUGAAAAAAAAAUAAUAUAAUUGGAAUGUAAAGAAUGUAUGUGUAUUACAGGGAUUUAAUCAGUCGUUUACAAUAGAGGGUCGUAACAAUAUUUUCUCUGUUAAAGCUACCAUGAGAAAACUGUCCAGCAAUCUCAUUGCUUGUGGCCCAAUCUCUUGUACGAAAGAAAAUUAUUUGUGGUAGAAAUAGAAAGGAAGCAGAUUGAGUUGUAACCCCCAUGAAUUUUACAAGUAUAUGAAGCCCAAUUGUGCAUGAUAUAAGUAAUGAUUGCCAACAAUUUCUAAAAAUGAAAUAUGAAAGGAUCAAUUAUAAUUGAUGUUUUCAUUUAUUGAACAAGAAAUUUGAUAAUGCAUGAUAUUUUGGCUCAUGCAAGCUAUUUUAUUGGCCUCUGUCAUUAGUGCUAUGUAUCAGCAAAUUCAUUUUUAGCUUCUCUCUUUGCAACUAUUGAUAAACUUUGCACCGCACAGCACUAUAUAGCACUCUAUCAUUAGCAUCUCAUUAUUCUAUAAAAAAAAUAGAUUUGGUGGCACCUGGAGGUUCAGUGGACUCUAGCAAUUUUAUCUACAAAGCGAAAAUGUACAAGAAGGCGCACUUCUGUGAAUGACUGAUGAUAGAAGAGUCGCACAAAACGCAGGCAUUACACUUUUUCGUUUCCAGCAACUCAUUUAAUUAAUACCCUUUCAUUUCAUCUCUUGCAAGUUGUUACUUUUUUAUACUAAAGUCGUUUUUUCUUUAUGUAAAGUUUUUUGUACUAAACUCAUCUUACACCCUAAAGCGCUCUUGAAUUUUCCUCUUGCUAAUACCAAACUUGCAGUCAUAAGUUUGCCUCUGGGUGUAGAUUUUCUGAAGAAUCAUACUGAGAAAAUGUAAAAUCUUUAAUGAGGGAUAUUAACAAAAUUUCAGGAUUUUACCUAUUCGGUAAUAUUAAAUAUACUUGGAAUUUCUUGUGAAAGAUUGGUGUUUCCAAUGAUACGUUUUAUUUCGCAAUAUACUAUGUUUUGUUUUGUUUUAGGGGAGCAAGAAUACGAGUCUUAACACUAGCUGAGCAAAUCAUUGCUGCCAUACCUGAUCGUAUUAAGGUGAUUAUGCAAAUGUACAAAAUUGAUUGUAGAUUUACCCUAGAAACUUACGUGGUUGUUGAUUUAUUUUAUUCCCUCUCUCUCUUUUAAAAUCUUACCACCAUCCAGAAA